This is a long non-coding RNA of Gopherus flavomarginatus (Mexican gopher tortoise), 666 nucleotides long. RefSeq lists it as uncharacterized. The record is from RefSeq and is a predicted model, not a curated record. The transcript is spliced from 4 exons. NCBI's taxonomy places the organism in Eukaryota, Metazoa, Chordata, Testudines, Testudinidae.
UUCACACAACCAUGCAUACAGUCUUUCUCCUCACUGACCUGUGCCUGUUACCGAACCUUGAACAUUUUACUUUACCACAAGGUCACCUUAGGAUUCCUUUAGUACUUAUUGCUUGUGGCUGAGGACAGAGAGUUCUGCUCAGACGCAGGUCAGGGGAGCACACAGACCGUGUCCGGAGAAAAUGGUAAGUUAAUAAUGGCUAGUAAUUCCUGUAGUAGAUUGUACUGGUAAUCAAGCUACUCUCCUUCCCUGCUUUGCUCUCGCGUUCCCCGAACAAGCAGGUCUCCUUGCCUGCGGUUUGCUGGGUGGUUCGGGGAACGCGAGAGCAAACCGCGGCGAAGCUGGUCUCCUUCCCUGCUUUGCUCUCGCGUUCCCCGAACAAGCAGGUCUCCUUGCCUGCGGUUUGCUGGGUGGUUCGGGGAACGCGAGAGCAAACCGCGGCGAAGCUGGUCUCCUUCCCUGCUUUGCUCUCGCGUUCCCCGAACAAGCAGGUCUCCUUGCCUGCGGUUUGCUGGGUGGUUCGGGGAACGGGAGAGCAAACCGCGGCGAAGCUACUCUCCUUCCCCGGUUUGCUCUCGCGUUCCCCCAACAAGCAGGAUGAAUCCGCCCUGUUACAAUGGAGACUUUUCUAAAAACCACCUAAUGGGUCACUGUUUUAGGAAAGGU